Molecule: long non-coding RNA, 2605 nt
Filed under: Zalophus californianus (California sea lion)
Lineage: Eukaryota; Metazoa; Chordata; Mammalia; Carnivora; Otariidae
Description: lncRNA (ENSZCAG00015000232.1)
Source: RNAcentral
AUGUUUAGGCUGGCACGAGUUCCGGGCGGGGCCCAGAGUUGUUCUGGCCAGAGGGUUUGGGCGGAUGAGCGAAUGUUGUGGACACCCUGUUCUGUGGAUGGGUGGGGGAAGCAACGGUCGCCCGUGGCCCUGAUCUCCGGGUCUGAGCGGGCUAGGUGGUGGUGUUCCUCAGGUGUCGGGGCGGAGAGGACCCUGGCCUGGUCCCCCGGUUACGGAGGAGCCGAGAUUCAGUGUCUCUGGCCCUGGGAAUCCGAGAUUUUAUACCUCAAAAGUGUUCCCAUCUUGUUGGCUUUUGCGGUUCGGCCUUCAGAUACGAGCUGUCUCCUGUGUCUGAUGCUGCAGCAGGUGUGUGUGCCUAUGGCUUGGAGCUAAUAGCCUGCUGAUAUUUUUAGCUUUCUCAGUUGUUCUCAUUUGCCAAAGUCCUGCUGGGGUGCUACAGAAAUGGCUGAGUUGGAGCAUGUAAUUGCAGGGGGAUGGGGAAAGUUAGCAUUUGGAGGCAGCAGGUGGGAAUGAGCUGGAUUGAUCAGCCUUCUAGUCUCCCACUCUCACUGCAUCCUUUCCGCUACUUUGUUUGCAGGUUGACUUUAAAUAUGUUUCUUUCUAAAGAGCUUGAAUGCCCUCACUCUCUGUAUGGAGUCGAGGCAACUGCCAGUAAAUUUUCAUAGUCCCAUAGUCCCACCAAAGAAUGGUGACUUACGAAUGCCAGAGUUGCAGAGUUGUUCUUUGGAUUCUGGUUUUUAAAGUGAGAACAUUUUGGUUCAGAGAGGUGAAUGAAUGGCUUACCCUAGGUCACAUGCCUGCCAGGGGUGCCACCAAGAAUAGAGUCCAGCUCUCUUGGUCCCUGCUGUCUUGCACUGACUGCAUUUUGCCUUGCUUGCCUCUUGUUUAUGGUUCUUAAGCUUGGCAUGUCCGUUAGCAGAGAGAGAGAUACUUAGGGUGACAAUAAUGGUUGAUAUUUAUUUAAUGUUUUCCAUAUGCUGAGUAUGGUGCUUUGUGUUUACAAUCCAGCCUCUGAGGAACCUUAAAAAUGAGGGACCUGAGGCUCAAAGAGGCCAAACGGCUUGUCCAAGGUCACACUAGUCUUAAUCUUAGUCCUGGCUUGCUAGAGGGCCAGACCAUUGGGUGGUGGUGGUGGUGUUAAUUAAGUCAACACUAUUUUUUUUUAAUUUCCUUAAAUAAUCUCCACACCCAAUGUGGGGCUCGAACACACCACCCCAGGAUCAAGAAUUGCAUGCUCUACCGACUGAGCUGACCAGGAGCCCCACUGGGUGUUCUUUUUCAUUUAUUUCCUCCUGUGAGCUUUUUGGACCUAUUUGUCGUCCUUGACCUUGGGAAUCAAUAUCUUACAUUAAUCCAUUAAUGUAUAGGACAUUAAUCCAUUAAUUCUCAUGUUAAUUUAUGUAAUUGAUAUGUUAAUUACAUUAAUAGGACCUCAGAAAAUUAGGAACAGCCAAACUCACCUACUGUAUUUGUACACAACUCGAUUAGAGUAAAAAUAAAAUUUACGUGACUUUAAACAUUGCAGAUUUCAAUAUGGCUAAUCCCUGAGGUUAUCUGAGAUUCCUGAAAGUGAAAAUUCUAGCAAUAGGUUGUAAUCCGUUAGGAACAUACCUCUCCAGUGCAAGUCAGAAUCUGCUGCUACUUAAAGACAACCUGGCCAUUUAUCUGUAAAGAAAACGAGCACCUUCAGUCACCGUCAUCACAUUUAAACAGAUUUAUGGUGUACGUUCCUAUCAUGAACUUAUCUGGCUUUGAAAGAAGUCAUGGGGAAAACUUGGUUAUCUUGUGCCAACCACCAGCCUGUUUUCUAGAUACUAUGACCUUGAAUAGAUGAGGCAUGAAUUUUCUAUAUUUAGAUGUUUUUGUAAGUAAAAGUUUUAGUGAAACAUUUUUCCCCGAAGUUUAUUUUAUUAUCCCCAUUCUAAAGGCCUGUGACAUUUUCUUGUGCUUUUCUUAAUUCUAAGUACAUGUGAAGACAAGCAUCUGCAUGAUUUUUGAAUGCACAUCUUUCCGCCUACAUCAGGAUAAGACUCUGGAGCCACACUGGGUGGGUUCAAAUCCCAGUCCCUGUGUGACCCUGGACACGUUACAUAAACUUUGUCUCCUUGUCUCUGAAAUGGAACAGUAACCUCUACCUCCUAGGGCUGCGUGAGUUUAUGCAGCUGAUGCGCCCUCGUGCAGCCCAGCACAGUGAAGUGAAGCUAUGAUUAUGCUCUAAGUUGCCAAAUUUCAUAAAAAACCGGGGCCCUAGAGCCCAUUUAGUUGACACCCCCUUUCUUCAUUUACAGAUGGGACCAAGGCCCCAAGAGGGAAGUCACUUACCAGAGUGUGUAGGUUCUUCAUCCAGAGCUCAAGUCUUCUGACUCUUAGGGUAUGUACCAUAUUCUAAAAAAUAGCGACAUAGAAGGUCUUGGAGCAAAUGCUUUGCUCCAGCUGCGUCCCUGACCUCCACUCCCUGCUUUACCUUCCCCUAGGUCUCCCUCACAGUUGAGAUGAAAUUCUAGAUAGGAAUUGCUUUCAGAGGACAAUUUUUUCCCCUAUCAUUUACUCCCCUCCAGAUAUUUUUUAAGAACCAAUUUUUGCUUCAUUAAUACUCAGAGGGGGC